Molecule: non-coding RNA, 787 nt
Organism: Triticum urartu
Lineage: Eukaryota; Viridiplantae; Streptophyta; Magnoliopsida; Poales; Poaceae
Source: RefSeq, a predicted model, not a curated record
GUCAGUUGGCCCCUUACUUGAGUAGAUAUAUAUUGGAGAGUUUUGAAAGUAGUUAAUUUUCAUUGCACUAUUUCUUCUUCUUCUUCUUCUAUUUAUCGGUGCUACUAUUUUGCUCUAUAUUAACUGUAAUCAGUUUAUGUUCAGUUUUAAAAAAUUGUCAAGAAGCGUCAACUAUGUUCAGUUUCUUCGGAGUAUAAGAUCACCUUAUUGCAAGAAAGCUGCUCUGUUUUGUUUAGAAGAAGAGUAGAAUUGCACAAGUUACAUCCUGAAGAAUUGCACAAGUUACAUCCUGAAGCAUAAUGGUAGAAUUUACACAAGUUUGUCACGCUCCUUUGGCGGAAACUAACACACUGCUUUUGUGACGCAACAGUAGCAGUGGAGAUUUGCGUUUUUGGCAAAGAGGAGGGAAGGAACUAACAUGAUGGCUUAGAUCAGUUACUGAUGAACUAACAUGAUGUGGCCAAAUAUACACGAGUCUAAACAAGACAUGGGUCUGCUUUCCUCUUAAGCAGAUAUGAUCAUCAAGCUGUUUCCAGCGACAGCAGUGGAGCCUGGGGAGAGGAGAUGAACCUGUGCCUGGGGUGAGGACAACCUGGGAUGAGGAGAGCUUGGGCAGCAGCCGAGCCCAGCUCCAACUCACCUCAACCUGGGCGGACUUGGAGAGGAGGAGUCCCUGGAGAUGGAGUGGAGUCCCUGGGCGUGGAGAGGAGGAGCGCCUGGGCGCCUGCGUUGGUCUGGAUGGAGGUGGAGCUGUGGCGCCUAGAGCUCUGGGGUGGAGCGCUGGCGA